UAUAAAUGUUAAAAUUAUCAGAAAUGGCAUUUCAGUCAAAUGCAGUGAUUGUGCUGAUAUAAUGAAAGAAAUACAUUAAAACAACAAUGGAAAUCAUUAAUGGUUUGGGCUGAAGUGGUUUCCUUUUUUAUCAGACAUGCACUGAAUUCUAUAAGAACAGAACUAAGUCCCAAAAUGAAAUUUAAAUCUACUUAUCUCAAGAAAUUUUAACAAUUUCAACAAUGAAAUCUUAAAUGUAGUUGUUAAUGAGAAUUACAUUUUUGCAAUUAAACACACAAGAGAAAGGAGAAAGUGUAGAAUAUAUAGAUCUAAGUUCCUUGUGUGGCCUUCCACAGGUGCAGGAGGAAAGGCCACAGGAAAAUGAUCAUCAUUCUCUGAUACAUAAGCCGUAUCUAAAAAUGCCUGCAUCAGACCAUGUACAGCCAGAAUGCUCCACUCACUAAAUCAAGCAAUAGUCUACAAAAAGAAGAAAGCAACAUAGCAUAUUUUCUCAAAAUGAAGAUGAAGCAGGGAGUUCUUCCAGCUCCCCGUAGAGCUCCAGAUUGAGGCGGGCAAGUUUCUCCUGCAUGCUCCGCACAUGCUCCAUUUGCUCUAUGGAACAUUCAUUUCCUAAGAGGACAAAUGAUAACGUUAGAGAAGGAAAGCUGAAAGAACAAAUGGAAGUGUGAAGAUGACAGCGUUUUACAUCAGAGAAGGUAAAUCUGGUGUUCAAACUUAUAAUUUGCUCUCUAAAUUAUUUCUUCCUUUUUCAUUGCUGAAGUUUCUGUCAUUCUGUCUGGUGUUGUGUUGUCCUGAAUUUUUGAUAACCACCGAACACACUUAACAGCUUUUUUAGAAUAUACAUUUCACUGGCUAUUUUCUCUCCCACUUAAGAAGCCUCUGUAUUUUAAUUUUAAAUCUGAUACAAUAAACUUUCUUCACAAUUUUGA
Numida meleagris (helmeted guineafowl) is the source of this 929-nucleotide long non-coding RNA. RefSeq lists it as uncharacterized. The record is from RefSeq and is a predicted model, not a curated record. Lineage: Eukaryota; Metazoa; Chordata; Aves; Galliformes; Numididae. The transcript is spliced from 2 exons.